UACGUAGGGGGCAAGCGUUGUCCGGAUUCAUUGGGCGUAAAGAGCGUGUAGGCGGCCAGGUAGGUCGGUUGUGAAAACUGGAGGCUCAACCUUCAGAGGUCGACCGAAACCAUCUGGCUAGAGUCCGGGAGAGGAGAGUGGAAUUCCUGGUGUAGCGGUGAAAUGCGCAGAUAUCAGGAAGAACACCCGUGGCGAACGCGGCUCUCUGGAACGGUACUGACGCUGAGACGCGAAAGCGUGGGGAGCGAACAGG
RNAcentral lists this ribosomal RNA (253 nucleotides) under uncultured bacterium. RNAcentral describes it as "partial 16S ribosomal RNA". It matches the Rfam family "Bacterial small subunit ribosomal RNA", at positions 524 to 776 of the family's 1533-position model. The record is from RNAcentral.